Molecule: ribosomal RNA, 274 nt
Filed under: uncultured bacterium
Lineage: Bacteria
Description: partial 16S ribosomal RNA
Rfam family: Bacterial small subunit ribosomal RNA
Source: RNAcentral
AUACGAAGGUCCCAAGCGUUAUUGGGAAUCACUGGGCGUAAAGAGUACGUAGGCGGUUUGGUAAGUCAGGUGUGAAAUCCCGGAGCUCAACUCCGGAACUGCAUCCGAUACUGCCAGACUUGAGUAAUGGAGAGGCAGGUGGAAUUCUCGGUGUAGCAGUGAAAUGCGUGGAUAUCGAGAGGAAGACCAAUGGCGAAGGCAGCCUGCUGGACAUUUACUGACGCUGAGGUACGAAGGCUAGGGGAGCGAAAGGGAUUAGAAACCCCAGUAGUCC